This 897-nucleotide long non-coding RNA is filed under the name Daucus carota (carrot). RNAcentral's name for it is "long non-coding RNA (DCAR_LNC004981)". Lineage: Eukaryota; Viridiplantae; Streptophyta; Magnoliopsida; Apiales; Apiaceae. The record is from RNAcentral.
CGAAAUCAUCAACCAAAUGCCAGUUCGAUCUUGAUAAGUUAUACAGGAUAAGGUCUCGUAUGUUAUGUCAACGGUCCAAAACGAGCUGGCAGCUUUAUGGGGAAAAGAAUACUCGUUUCUUCCAUCGGGCUAUAGCUAAACGCAGGGCUCACAACACUAUUCGAAAAAUCGAGUAUGAGCAAGUAACUCUUACCAGGGCGGUUGAAAUCAAGCAAGCUUUCUACUCUCACUUCUCCAAUUUGUUAGCAAAGGAGCCUCCAAGGAUGGUCUUCAAUCUGGGCUCGUGCUCUUUGUCUACUCUGUCCCCGAGCCAGUGCAGCUUUGUAGAUGCCAAAUUCACUUUAACCGAAAUAGAAUUUGCUCUGUCUUCUACGGAAAAGACCAAGGCNCUUACUCAAAACUUCUACUCAGGAUUGGGGUCCGCGCCCUUUCAAGUUCUUCAAUUGCUGGCUGGAAGAUGACACACUCGCUCAUACUUUACGAAAUUCAUGGAAGAGCUCGCAGUCCUCCAAUAUUCAUCAUAAAUUCAGGUCGUUAAGAGAGGCUGCUAAGAUGUGGAAUUCAACCAAGAUGGGUAAUAUAGAUAUCAAAAUAAAGGAAGCAGAGACAGCUCGGGAUAGGGAAGACAAUGGACUUUCAAACCCGAAAUCAUCAACCAAAUGCCAGUUCGAUCUUGAUAAGUUAUACAGGAUAAGGUCUCGUAUGUUAUGUCAACGGUCCAAAACGAGCUGGCAGCUUUAUGGGGAAAAGAAUACUCGUUUCUUCCAUCGGGCUAUAGCUAAACGCAGGGCUCACAACACUAUUCGAAAAAUCGAGUAUGAGCAAGUAACUCUUACCAGGGCGGUUGAAAUCAAGCAAGCUUUCUACUCUCACUUCUCCAAUUUGUUAGCAAAGGAG